RNAcentral lists this ribosomal RNA (492 nucleotides) under uncultured bacterium. RNAcentral's name for it is "partial 16S ribosomal RNA". It matches the Rfam family "Bacterial small subunit ribosomal RNA", at positions 29 to 507 of the family's 1533-position model. The record is from RNAcentral.
AAUGAACGCUGGCGGUAGGCCUAACACAUGCAAGUCGAACGGCAGCACAGUAAGAGCUUGCUCUUACGAGUGGCGAGUGGCGGACGGGUGAGGAAUACAUCGGCAUCUACUUUUUCGUGGGUGAUCCCGUAGGACAACUUACGCUACUACCUCAUACGACCUACGGGUGAAAGCAGGGGAUCUUCGGACCUUGCGCGAUUGAAUGAGCCGAUGUCGGAUUAGCUAGUUGGCGGGGUAAUGGCCCACCAAGGCGACGAUCCGUAGCUGGUCUGAGAGGAUGAUCAGCCACACUGGAACUGAGACACGGUCCAGACUCCUACGGGAGGCAGCAGUGGGGAAUAUUGGACAAUGGGGGCAAGCCUGAUCCAGCCAUACCGCGUGGGUGAAGAAGGCCUUCGGGUUGUAAAGCCCUUUUGUUGGGAAAGAAAAGCAGCAGGUUAAUACCCCGCUGUUCUGACGGUACCCAAAGAAUAAGCACCGGCUAACUUCGUG